GUUGAAUUUUGUGCAUAGAGAGAGAUAAGGGCUCAAUUUCAUUUUGCUGCAUAUGAAUAUCCAGUUUCCCAAGCACCAUUUGUUGAAAAGGCCAUCUUUUCUUCAAUGUGUGUUUUGGGCACCUUAGUCAAUUGUAUUUAUGUGGGUUAGUCUCUGUGUCCUGUAUUCUGUACCAUCAGUCAACAUGUCUGUUUUGGUGUCCAUACCAUGCUGUUUUUGGUACUGUGGCUUGUAGUAUAGUUUAAGGUCUGGUGUUGUGAUGCCUCCUGCUUCACUCUUCUUGCUAAGAAUUCAUUUGGUUAUUCUGGGUCUCUUAUUUUUCCAAAUUUAUUUCAUGAUUCCUUUUUUAAAUUCCUAUGAGGUAUGACAUGGGAUUUUUUUUUUUGUAGAUGGACACAAUACCUUUACAUUACUUAUUUAUUUUUAUGUGGUGCUGAGGAUUGAACACAGUGCCUCAUGCAUGCUAGACUUGUGCUCUACCACUGAGCCUCAACCCUAGCCCAAGACAUUGAGAUUUUAAUUUAUGUCAUAUUGAAUCUGUGUAGUGCUUUUGGUAAUAUGGCUAUUAAUUCUGCCUAUCUAAGAGCAUGGGAGAUCUUUCCGUCUUCUAAGGUCUUCUUCAAUUUCUUUCUUUAGUGUUCUGUAGUUUUCCCUGUAGAAGUCUUUCAUUUCUUUUGUUAAAUUGAUUCCCAAGGUUUUUUGUUUUGUUUUGUUUUUGAGGCUAUUAUGAAUGGGGUGGUUUUCUUCGUUUCUCUUUCAGAGGUGAAUCCUGCUUUUGUUGAUUCAAAUAUUUGUCUUGGCUCACUUCUAAGUUUUGGAAAUAUCCAGGGUAGUGUUCUUGUCUGUGGAUAUUUGCAGGGUGAAUUUGUAUGGGAGAGGCUGGAUGAAGCUGAAGUGCUCCUACUUGCCUACCUUCCUGAUGUCAUCCACAAUAAUUAUCUUUAAAUUGUUAAUGUACAUGUAAGUUAAUUUUGUUAUUUAUAUUUUCUUACUUUUCAAAUGGUGUGUGAUCAGUAUGAAUUAAUUUUAUUGUCAGAAAUUACAAUAAUUGCUUAUAAACCAUCCAUUUAGCGUCUGGUCCUUUCUAUUUUUUUUUCUGAAUAUCC
Molecule: long non-coding RNA, 1106 nt
Filed under: Marmota monax (woodchuck)
Lineage: Eukaryota; Metazoa; Chordata; Mammalia; Rodentia; Sciuridae
Source: RNAcentral